RNAcentral lists this ribosomal RNA (494 nucleotides) under uncultured bacterium. RNAcentral describes it as "partial 16S ribosomal RNA". It matches the Rfam family "Bacterial small subunit ribosomal RNA", at positions 28 to 507 of the family's 1533-position model. The record is from RNAcentral.
GACGAACGCUGGCGGCGUGCUUAACACAUGCAAGUCGAACGGAAAGGCCUGUCCUUCCUUGUGUUGGACGGGUACUCGAGUGGCGAACGGGUGAGUAACACGUGAGUGAUCUGCCCCCAACUUGGGUAUAAGCCUGGGAAACUGGGUCUAAUUCCCGAUAGGACUGCAGGGUGGUGCCUGUGGUGGAAAACGAUUUUCUAGUGGUUGGGGAUGAGCUCGCGGCCUAUCAGCUUGUUGGUGGGGUAAUGGCCUACCAAGGCGGCGACGGGUAGCCGGCCUGAGAGGGUGGACGGCCGCAUUGGGACUGGGAUACGGCCCAGACGCCUACGGGAGGCAGCAGUGGGGAAUAUUGCACAAUGGGCGGAAGCCUGAUGCAGCGACGCCGCGUGGGGGAUGUCGGCCUUCGGGUGGUAAUCUCCUUUCGACCGCGAGGAAGCCGCCUGGUUGGAAGGGUGGUGACGGUAGUGGUAGAAGAAGCACCGGCUAACUACGUG